CUUCCCUGUCUUGUUCCUGGGCGCAGAGGGCUCCUCCGGCGCCGCCGAGCUGCGCCCGCUGCCUUCACACCCCGGACAUCCGCGCCACACGUGAGUGUCCCCGCACCCCUCCCCCAGGACCGUGGAAGUCCCAGAUUCGGGCCUGCUCUGGGGCUUCUGGGGUCCCCAGCCUCGGUCACUCUGACGGGUGAAGGGAAGAAGAAAUGAUGGAGAAAACGGUGCUCCUUCAUGGAGGGACCAAAAAAGGACAUACAAUCUAUGUCAAUAGAUGAGGGUUUUCCCUCCAUAAGUUUAACUUUAAAAGUGUAUUUAAGGUGCCGGGCGCAGUGGCUCACACCUGUAAUCUCAGCACUUUGAGAGGCCGAGGCAGGCGGAUUGCCUGAGCUCAGGAGUUCCAGACCAGCCUGGGUAACACGGUGAAACCCCGUCUCUACUAAAAUACAAAAAAUUAGCCGGGCGUGGCAGCGUGCGCCUGUAAUCCCAGCUACUCGGGAGGUGGAGGCAGGAAAAUUGCUUGAACCUGGGAGGCAGAGGUUUCAGUGAGCCAAGAUUGCGCCACUGCACUCCAGCCCGGGUGACAGAGUGACACUCCGUCUCAAAAACAAACAAACAAAACAAAACUGUAAGGAAUCAAAUGUUACAAAAUCCUGGAAGAUUUUGGUAAUGCUGUUGAUAAUUUCAGGGAAAUUAAUGAAGUACAUGUAAGUGCUUGAUUUAAAUGUGUAUUUUAUUCAAUAGUUUGAGUAUCUUGCCAUGGAAGAUACUAGCCCAGCCUAGCAGAAAAGUGCAAUAUGUAUAAUAUACUUUCGCAUUUUAAAAGUUAUAUUCCCUAUCCAUUUUGAAAUGCUAGCCAAACUACAUGAAGUUAUUUGCAAUUAAUUGUAAGCUAAUCAGGAAUUUUGAAAGCUUGAUUGGAUUAACAAACUAUAAUGUUGAAAUUUGGUAAAAUCAUAAUGUUAAUUUUUACUGUGAAACGUUUUCUUGUAAGAUAGAUAUACACAUCCUAGUUUAAUUUUGUGUCUUAGUGUGGAUUUACAAAUUUACUACAGUUAUUCUGAGCCCAGGAACCCAAUCAGAUUUCAGGCCAGUUUGAUACUGGCUGUUCUUAAUUCUAACAGGAGAGUAGGACAUCAUACUAAAUGUUAUGUCAGUGGGACUGUGUUGUCUUUGGAGCUUAGUAAAUUAAUCAUUUUCUUCAGACUUUAAGGAGAGUGAUAAAUAAAAUUUGGAGUCAUAGGAUAUAGAUGUACAAUUUAAAGAUUAAACAUUUUUUUUUUUUUUGAGAUGGAGUUUUGCUCUUGUUGCCCAGGCUGGAAUGCAGUGGCAUGACCUGGACUCACUGCAAACUCCACCUCCCGGGUUAAAGCAAUUCUCCUGCCUCAGCCUCCCAAGUGGCUGGGAUUACAGGCAUGUGCCACCACAGCUGGCUAAUUUUGUAUUUUUAGUAGAGACAGGGUUUCUCCAUGUUGGCCAGGCUGCUCUUGAACUCCUGAUUUUGUGAUCCACCCGCCUUGGCCUCCCAAAGUGCUGUGAUUACAGGCGUGAGCCACCUUGCCUGGCCAAGAUUAAACAUUUUUCAUCAAUUGUGGAUGGUGGCUUAUAACACUGCAAGAAUAGGCUGGGCAUGGUGACUCACAAGUGUAAUCCCAGCACUUUGGGAGGCAGAGGCGGGCAGAUCACAAGGUCAGGAGGUCAAGACCAGCCCAGCCAACAUAGCAAAACCCGGUCUCUACUAAAAAUACGAAAAUUAGGUGGGCAUGGUGGCAUGCGCCUCUAAUACCAGCUACUCAGGAGGCUGAGGCAGGAGAACUGCCUGAACCCAGAAGGCGAAAGUUGCAGUGAGCUGAGACUGCACCACUGCACUCCGGCCUGCAAGAAUAAAAGUAAGUUAUCCAAAAAAAAAACAAAAAGGAGAAGAAAAGGGAGGAAUGAAGGAGAGAGAUGGGGUUGGGGGGCAGAGAUGAGAGAGAGAGAAAGAAGAAAAAAGAAGAAAGAAAAGAGAGAAAGAAGGAAGGAAGAAAGAAAGAAGGAAAGAGAAAGAAAGAAAGAGGAAGGAAGGCAGGAAAGAAAAGAAAGAAAGUGAAAGAAAAGAGAAAACGGUGCUCCCAGCAAAGGGUACGACCUCAAGAUCUGGAGGUCAGACCUGUGCCCUCACGCUCUGCUGGGCUCUGAGUCCUGGAGACGUCGAUGAGGAAAUCAGAGGGACAAACAGAGCUGGGGACGGCGGGGAUGGGGAGAAGGACACAUCAGCCGUGCGCCUGCGGGACCGGGGCCGGGGCGGGGGGUCCAGUAUGACGACUGACAUGGCCAGUAAUAAAACAAGGCAGCCACAGAGCUGCAGGGAUCUGAACAAGAAAACCUGGGGCCAGCCUCCCUGCUGCCGACCACCACGCUACACGUGACCUACGGGCUUGCGUCCGUGGGAAAUAAGCCGAAAUUCCAGGCGUCCCCAGACCCUCGACCACCGAUCGCCUGCUCCCCGCCGGGGUAGGCGAUGGGGGCUGAACCAAGGCCCAGAGCGCCGCCGUCGGACGCCCAAGGAAAGAGGGGAAAGACAGGAGGCCCCGAGGGGCACUGAACCCGCGCCCGCCCUCGCUGGUGCCCCGCCAGCUCACCGUCCACGUGCAGCUCCAAGCGCUCGCUGGGCGCGGAGCCCCCGAAAGGCGGCUUCAGGUCCACGUAGACGCAGCUGUAGUUGGCGGAGUCAGCCACGGAAAUGUUGUGCAGCUCGAAGAGCGCCUCGGUCCCAGCGGGGCUCUGGAAACGGUGCACGCGGCGCCCGCCCCUGUCCUCGCGCACCAGGGCGAAGCGCGCGCCCUCCAGGGGCGCCAGGCACCGCAGCCGCAAGGCCCUGCCGGACUCCGGCUCCGGGGAGAACUCCGGCGCGGGCAGCGUCUCUGCGGAGCAGCACACGGGCUGACCCGGGCGCCCAGCGGCUGGCUCGGCCCUAACGCGUGGUCUGGCCUCGCGCUCUUUGCCUUGGCUGAGUCUUCUGCCCGCAAUGACCUGGCCAGCUUCCUCCCUCGCCUCCUCCGGGCCCGCCCCACCUUUGCAUCCCAGUCCUUGGAUAUCUCACACGCACCCUUUCACUGUUUCUUAGUAAUUUGUUUGUCUACAGACACAGACGGGAAGCGGGGACGGGGACAUGUUUUGUGCAUGGCUUGAUGCCUGGUGCACGAUGCCGCUCAGUAGUGGAUUUGCUCCACGAGCGUCUUCUGAGCACCGCCCCAAUGCCCGCCCCACGGAGGGGCCCCUGUGGUCCGCUGGGCAUGGGGUUCGCUGUCCGGUGCUCAGAGUUUGCUAAAUACCAUCAGGUCCAAGGCAAGCGAGCGGAGGAGCUGCCUCAGCAGAGGCCCUCAGUGCUCACCUAGACCUGGCAGCUGGGAUGGGACCUGCCAGGUGGUGCCCCCUGUGGCCUGGGCCAGACCUGUUCACCCAGUUAUUCCCUGUGGGGCCUGAAGGUUGUCACGCUCAUCAUCAUAUUUGCAGUUUAGGACCCUGAAUCGGCGGGUGGGCGGAUAAAGUUGGUAUUGGACCCUGGCCCAGAGCACUGCACUUCCCCAGACUCUACACCUGGUACUGCUCCUGCUCCCCAGGGACCCAGCCGCGUCCCUGUCCCUGCUGGCCCCGGCUCACCAUCGCUCAGAAUCAGCUCGACCGGCGCGCUGUCCCCGGACCAGCCGUUUUGGUUGUCAUGCAGCCGGUAGCGGCAGGUGUAGUGACCUCCAUCCCCCAGGGCCACCGCGUUCAGGUGAAAGAAGAUGCGAUCUGGGCUGGUGCUGCUCCUGGGUACCAGCAGCUCUUUCUCCCCGCGCCGUAGCUGGAAGUCCACUCCACUCAGGGGAGCCACGCAGGUGAGGGUCACCUUGUUGCCAGGGUGCAGGACCUGGGAGGACUCUCCAUGGUGCAUCAGCACAGGCGGUGGUGGUGCAGCUGCAAUGCAGGCAGCAUUACUAGGCUGCCCCAUCCCUGGAGCUGCCCUCUGCCCAGUCCCCAGACCUCUGCCCUCCGGGUGGCAAUCCCAGGAACACCCUUCCAUUCUUUUUUUUUUUUUUUUUUGAAACGGAGUUUCGCUCUUGUUGCCCAGGCUGGAGUGCAGUGGCGCCACUCAGCUCACUGCAAGCUCUGCCUCCCAGGUUCAAGGGAUUCUCCUGCCUCAGCCUCCUGAGUAGCUGGUACUACAGGCACCUGCCACCACACCUGGCUAAUUUUUGUAUUUUUAGUAGAGACGGGGUUUCGUCAUGUUGGGUAGACUGGUCUCGAUCUCUUGACCUCAUGAUCCGCUGGCCUCAGCCUCCCAAAGUGCUGGGAUUAUAGGCGUGAGCCACCGCACCCGGCCUCACCCUUCCAUUCUUUGGGCAUCCUCUGCCCAAACUCCUUUGCAACCAUCAGACCCAGGCAACCGUGUGGCCAGCUUCCUGGACCUGGUCCUGGGCAAGGACAUUCAGCAUGGAGGUCAGGAUGAAUGUGGUCAUGCCCCCUGUAUCCUCCUCCCCCAGCAGCCCCCAGAGAUGGUUCCCACAGUCACCGAGCUCCUCAAUGGUCACAGUAGCGCUGGGCUCAGAGAGGGCGCCUUCCCCAUCGGUCCGGUAGCUGCAGCUGUAGUUGCCAGGCUGAUGGACUGGAAAGGUGGCCUCCACAUCCUCCUGGGCCUCAGGCACCUCCAGAAACUCAUGGUCGCCCUCCCGCCUCAGCAGAAAAGUCACACCCCGCAGCACACCUCGGCACACUGCUGUUGUUUUCAGGCCGGGGGUGAUCCAGGACACUGGCGCCAUCGAGAGCCAGGGAGCAGGCAAGGACUCUGUGGGUGGGGUGGAGUUGAAGAGUGCUUCUGCAUAACAGGAGACGUGGGAAGCCCAGCAGAACCUGGGCCCCACACUCAUAAGACUGUGAAGGAGACAGGGAUGGAGGGCAUUGCUGGGAAAAGGCAGGCAGGCACCAGUGGAAACAAGGCAUACGGCAAGAGAAAAAGAGUGUGUGGGAGCUGUACGGCAUGCCGGGCCUGCUGGGGACACAACCAUGUAUUCCUUACAACACAGACAUCAUCCCCAUUUGACAGAUGGGAAGAUUGGGGCUUGGGGCUCAGAGACAUCGGGUGACUUGGAGGAAGGGAGACCCCCCAGUCAACAACCUACCCACUGCCUCCUGGCCCCCAAUUCAUGCCCCGGCUCACUUGGCCCUGUCAGCUCCAGGAGCUUGCUCAGCUGGGUCCAUCCUGUGGACAAGCCCGAGCGGCAGCGGUAGCGGCCCUGGGUGUCACCCGUCAGCAGGAACUGGUGCUUGAUGGCAGGUGAGUCAAGGUGCACAGGCUCCUGGGCCACCCCAUUCUUGAACAGCUGGAAGUCUGGAGUCUCCAGGUGGGCCUGGCACGUCAGCGUCACAUUGGCCAAGGGUUUCAGCAGUGAUUCGGACUCUGCCCACAGGCUGGGCUGCGUCUCAUAAACUGCAAGGGGUGGCUGGGAUCAGCUCAGUGCCACAGAGACAGGGCUCCCCCCCGGCCUGGGCCCACCAUUCCCAGACCUCACCCCUGCACUCACAUAUGGCUGCUUCUGUCACUGGGCCCCAGGUGACACCUGCGGAGACAGCCCCCGUAAGGCUCCUGUUCCCGCCCCCUCCCGCCCCAGGGACCCAGACCCCAGGAGGCCUCACCCCACAGCAAGAGAAAGACCACGAGCAUGGACAUGAUGGUCGCGCUCACUCCGGUGCAGUGAGUGUCUGGGUGAUGGAUCCUAGAACCUGUUCUAGAAGGAGACGCUGAGUUCUCCCCACUCUACCUGGAGCUGCUGAGGUCAAGUGGAGAGUGCCGGGGCUGAAGCCCAGCGAGCCCCUCCCUGUCACACCACACUGCACAUGUGACACCAAAGGUGGGGUUCACCUCUUUUCAGACUUUCUGCGGUUGCCCUCACAUGGGCUGUCUGGAGGUGCACCCUCACUCUUCCUGAGGACUGUGGUUCCUUCUCCAUCACUGGUUCAUUCUGCAUGGUGUGACCCACCACGGCUCUGGAGUCGGAUUUCCACCCAGGUCAUUCAGCUGAGACCUGCGCUUCCCAGGCCUACCCGUGACAUGUGCUCAGUUACCUGAGCUGCUGGUGGUCACUCAUGUGGCUAUAGCCUGCUGCCUGGAGGCCAGGCCUCCCGCUUCCCCUGCCUCCCCCUCUCCUCACCACAGCCUGUUGGGAUGGAACAGGACAGGGGUGAGACCGUGGUGCUUUCACACUCAGCCUCCAUGGACAUCCUGUCAUUCCCACCCGGGGAGGUCUGGUCCCCACCCUGGGUGUCCCAGCCUAGCUCCGCUACGAGUGUGAGGGCCCAGGGCAACCGCCUAGCCCUCAUCUGCCCCCUGCACUGCAUCCUCCCCACUCAUUCAUUCCACAGGCAUUUAUUGAGCAUCUACUGUGUGCCAGAUGCAAAGAAGACAGUGGGAUAACUGGGCAAGGAGCAUUCCAGGCAGAGGGAACAGCCAGUGCAAACAUGGGAGAUGCGGGUGCAGUGAGAAGGAGCAGAGGAGACCAGGAGUUGAGGCGACUGCAGAGCGAUUGCAGAGCUCAUAGACGUGAUGAAGACCAGCUGGGCACUGCAGCGGCUCUGGCUUCUGCUGUGAGGGACGGGGAGCUGUGGAGACUCCCUCUGUUUGGUCCCAUUUCCAUAUUGCUGAGCACCUGCUGCAUGCUCUCUGUCCUGCUCAGAGCCAGUACCUGGAUGGAGGCUGUGUGUUCUGGGUGGACUGGGGGAGAAUGCAUUCUUUGCAGAAGAGACAACCAGGUGCUGAGGCCUGAAGUCAUAACCAGACCUGGGGCACUCAGACAAGGACUGGUGGCCAGGCCAGAGGAGCAGAGCUCAGGGUGUGCACAGAACUCAGAAGUCAGACCACUGAACAGUGACAGAACCUUUCAGCCCAUUGGCAAUGAGGCUGCCCAGGCAGCCAGAGGCCUGGUCAAAUCUGAGGUCUGCAGAGAUGGAGCUGUCAUUCUGUGUUUCCUUUGGCAGUCCCAACACCAGCCUCGUUGCACCCUCCUCUUAGCUUCCCUGGGUUCUCCAGCCCUAAGGGUGGUAGCAGCUUCCUGCAAGUAUCCAGCUCUGAGAUUCUGCAACAUCCACUUUUGCUCUCUGAGCCUUGCAAAACCUGCACAAUCAGUCCCUAACUUAUAUCCCCUCUGUUUGAAAUACCUAGUGUGGUUUCUAUUUCCUGACUUGACUCUGACUGGUGUGGUACUUGGUAUAAAGAAGGUUCCCUGGCCAGGUGCGGUGGCUCACGCCUAUAAUCCCAACGCUUUGGGAGGCUGAGGCAGGAGGAUCACUUGAGCCCAGGAGUUUUGAGACCCGCCUAGGCAACAUGGUGAGACACUGUCCUUACAAAAAAUUUUAAAAUUAGCCAGGUGUAGUGACGCAAGUCUGUCAUCCCAGCUGCUUGGGAGGCUGAGGUGGGAGGAUCACCUGAGCCUAAGAAGUCGCGGCUGCAAUAAACAGUGAUUGCACCACUGCACUCCAGCCUGGGUGACAGAGUGAAACCCUGCCCCCUCCCCCAAAAAAGAAAAGUCCCAUGAAACAGACCUACACAGGUGAGAUUCUGAGAUUGAUCUGGUUCUGACCUCGGUCAGGAAUGCAGUGCUGAGCUUCUUGCCAACAGAAUAUGAGACACUAGAAAGCCAUAGCAUGCGGUUUCAUCAUGUUUAACUGUCACCUGUGGUUGCCUGAGAUGAAGUGCUGACUGAAGCGAGCACCUUAGGAGACACAGUGGCCACUGCACUGAGCAGCUGGUAGCAGCAGUGGUGACCAUGUGGACUGGGGGGUGGGUUGGCUGCUUUUGACAGUGCCAGAGAACUCAAAGAAAUAGCCACACCUGUCGGAGACCCCAGUUCUUGCCCACCUCUGCAUGGACGAACCUCUCGCCGAAGUGGAGCCUGCCGCCCUCCCUGGGGUAAGAGCCCAUCCUACAUGUCCCCAGACAGGCCUGGGUGGCCGGUGGACUAUCGUCAAAGGGACUGUGCAGCCAGGGUUCUCCACACCCAAGGCCGCCCCUGCACUCCCAGCAGGAGGGCGCCCGCACCGGCGGCCCGAAAAAGUCUGGGCCAGCAGACAGCGCACUCACGCCCGAGACCCCGCAAUGCCGUGUGUCCGCGACCUCCCGCUCAGGGCGUCCUCGGGUCAGGGCGCAGCGCGGCCCCCGUGCCGCUUCUGGUGCUCGUUGAGGUUGCAACGGUGGCUGAAAGGCUUCCCGCACUCGCCGCAAGCGUAGGGCCUCUCGCCCGUGUGCGUGCGCCGGUGGCUUAAGAGCUCCGACUUGCGCACGAAGGCCUUGCUGCAGUGGGCGCAGACGAACGGCCUCUCGCCAGAGUGCAGGCGCUGGUGCUGGCGCAGCUCGGAGCUGCCGCGGAAGGCCUUGCCGCAUUCUGCGCAGGCGAAGGGUCGCUCUCCCGUGUGCGAAAGCCGGUGGUGCGCCAGGCCGGAACUGCCGCGGAAGGCCUUGCCGCAGUCGGCGCAGGCGAAGGGCUUGGCGCCCGAGUGCGUGCGCCGGUGGCUCAGUAGGUUGGAGCGCUGGCUGAAGGCCUUGCCGCACUGGGCGCACGCAUGAGGCUUCUCGCCCGUGUGCACGCGCCGGUGCUCCGCCAGGUAGGAGCCCAUGACGAAAGCCUGGCCGCACUCGGCGCACUCGAAGGGCCGCUCACCAGUGUGCGUGCGCUGGUGCUGCAGGAGCUGCGAGCUCUCGCGGAAAGCCUUUCCGCACUCGGCGCAGGGGAAGGGCUUCUCGCUGCUGUGCGUGCGCCGGUGCUGCCGCAGCCCCGCCACACGCACGAAGGCCUUGCCGCAGUCGGGACAGGCGUGUGGCCGUGCGCCCGCGUGGAUCUUCAGGUGCUCGGCCAGGUUGGAGCUCUGGCUGAAGGCCUUGCCACAGUCCCGGCAGGCGUGCGGCCGCGCGCCCGUGUGCACGCGCCGGUGCUCCAGGAAAUUGGAGUUCCAGCUGAAGGCCUUGCCGCACUCCGGGCACUCGUAGGGCUUCUCGCCCGUGUGCGUGCGUCGGUGCUGCACCAGCGUGGUGCUUCGGCCGAAGGACUUGCCGCAGUCCGGGCAGCGGAAGGGCUUCAGGCCGCUGUGUGUCUCCUGGUGGUGGAUGAGCUGCGAGUGCGCGCGGAAGGCCUUGCCGCACUCCCUGCAAGCGUAGGGCUUCUCGCCGCUGUGGAUGCGCUGGUGCUGGCUGAGGUUGGAGCUCCAGGCGAAGGCCUUGCCGCACUCGGGGCACGUGUACGGCUUCUCGCCUGUGUGCACGCGCCGAUGCUGCAGCAAGUAAGAGCCCUGGCUGAACGCCUUGCCGCACUCCCCGCACCGGCAGCCCGGCUCCUCUGGGAGAGGCGAAGGGCGCAACGCCCGGUCUGCAGGCUCGCUCCUGGGCCCAGCCCCGUCCCGCCCACCGUCUGCGGGGCCCAGCUCCCUGCCGGGGCCUCCCUGUUCGUCCGCCGCCCCCAGUGUGGCUUGCUGCCGCUGGCCGUCCCCUGCCUCCCUCGGAACCUCCGUGGAGUUUUCCCAGGCCCCCCAGCCUCCAGACACAGCCCCCUCAGAGAGGCCCCUCGUGGCAGUCUUCACAUUGCAGAGGACCUGGCCUUCCUCUGGGGCCACCUGCAGGGUCCACCCUCUUGGGGACUCCAUCUCGCGCCUGUGACCUAAAACAGGAGAGAAAAGGCAAGUACCUUAGAGAAUACAAAGAACACCAGACAGAGGGCCUGAGGGGGACACGACGGUGGGUGGGCUGUCAUCCCCCACUCUUCUCCUCCAGGUCCCUGGAUGCCCAAUGCCCUCUGGAGCCUGGAGCAGGAAGGCCAGCAGGCGGGCUAGACACUCGGGGGAUGGGCCAGCACUCUGGGCCUGCCUGACAGGGCCACGUGCACAUCCCCACACCCGGCCCGGCCCAGCAGGAGGGGAGGGGGCGCCAGCAUCGCAGAAGGACUCAAAGUUGCCCACGCACCUGCACUGGCCCUACUGUGGCACCACUCUCCUCUCCUUGCUUCACAGGGUGGGGCCCCAAGUGUCAAGAAGGUGGAGACUCCAGUUUGUGAGGAACACGAUGGACCCGUCUCCAUUCCUGAAGGCUGGAGGACACCGCCUGACCCAAACACAGCUAUGUCUGCCUCACCCACUCCACCCUGGCCGGAUCCCUGGGUAGUCCCCUCCACACAGUAUGGGCAGCAUGUCCAGGCUGGAGGAUCUCAGUGGCUGUUACCCAGGCAAUGUCCACACCAGGCCUCUGUGCAGUUCUCAGGACACAAUGCGGAGCACACAGGUGUGGACUGGAGAUCUCUGACUCUGCCGUCCAAGCCAAGACCACCAAACUCCCACCUGUCACCAUCACUUUCCCACAGCCCCCAGGCCCUCUCAGCCACCAACCCACGACUGGCCCCAGUGCUGGCUCAGCUGGGGUCGUGAGCAGGGGAAGCACACCCAGCCCCCAGACCAGCCCCCACUCAUCUGGAGUCCUGGCCCAGCUGACUCCUGCUGUAGCCGCUCUGCCAGGGCAGUGGCCUCCUCAGGGCUGCCUAGCCACUGCUCCUGCGUGUAGGCCUGGAUCUCUGGGAGCAGUGUGCCCAAUAACUGCUCCAGCACCAAGAGCUCCAGCAUCUGCUCCUUGGAGCAGGCCUCAGGCAUCAGCCACUGGCAACACAGCUCACGCAGCUGAGCCAGGGCCCCUCGGGGCCCUGCUGCCUUCUCAUAGCAGAACCCCCAGAAGCACUGGCCAGGGCUCUUGGAGCUGGGCUCACCCACCAUCAGUUCCAGUGGACUCGGGAAGACCUGGGGGGCCAGGGCUGAUGCCUCACUCAUCUGGGCAGCCAUCCUGCCCCUUUCCUGGGAGGGGAGUGCAGCUGCAUGGCCCAGGGUACUUUCUCUGCAGCUGGAAACACAAAGGUGAGCCUGUGAGCACAGCAAGGCCACGAAGGUCCCCUCCUUGGGACCACCUGAGACUGAGUAAAAAUGGAAGAAUGGGGGUAUCGGCGUUUCUGGCCCCCAGUGUCAGCAUCUUUGCCCACCUGUGUGUCCAGGUGCCUGAGGGACACACUGAGGUGCCAUGGCUGCUUGUACCAUCCCUUCCCCCCGCCUCCCCGCUUUUCUUGAGGGUCCCUGCCCUGCCCUGUCUCCUUGGCACCCUUCAUCCCACACACAGAACAACUAAGACAGAGACUGUGAACAGGACACCCAGAGUCAGACCAGCAGAUGGGUCCUGUUUGUCCCCUCCAGGAAGUGUUUUAAAAAUUUAAGUUAGGCCAAGUGCGGUGGCUGACGGCUGUAGUCCUAGCACUUUGGGAGGCCGAGGUGGGUGGAUCACGAGGUCAGCAAUUCCAAGACCAGCCUGGCCAACAUGGUGAAACCCCGUCUCUACUAAAAAUACAAAAAUUAGCCAGGCGUGGUGGCAGGCGCCUGUAAUCCCAGCUACUCGGGAGGCUGAGGCAGAGAACUGCUUGAACCCGGGAGGUGGAGGUUGCAGUGAGCCGAGAUCGCGCCACUGCACUCCAGCCUGGGUGACAAAGUGAGACUCUGUCUCAAAAAAAAAAAAAAGAGAAUAAAUACUGAUACAUACUACAAGAUGGAUGAAUCUUGAAAAUAUUAUGCUAAGUGUAAAUGAAAAAAUUCAGACACAAAAGACUUCAUAUUAUGUUAUUCCAUUUAUGUGAAAUGUCCAGAACAGAUAAGUCUGUAAGAGACAGAAAGUAGAUCAGCGGUUGCCAGGAUCUGCAGGGAAGAGAGAAAUGGGAGAUACAGCCGUGGGAGUGAUGAAAAUAUUCUGGAAUUAGUGGUGAUGACUGUGCAACACUGAAUAUACCAAAAACCACUGAAUUACACACUUUAAAAGGAUGAAUUGUAUGGUAUUUAUGUUUUUUAAAAAAGUUACCACCCAAUCCCAAAAGCUUAAAAACUGUAUGACUCCAUUUCUUUUUCUUUUUCUUUUUUUUUUUCUUUUGACAGGGUCUGGCUCUGUCAUCCAGGCUAGGGUGCAGUGGUGCAAUCUCAUCUCCCAGGCUCAAGCCAUCUUCCCACCUCAGCCUCCGAAGGAGCUGGGACAUCAAGUGCGUGCCACCAUACCCAGCUAAUUUUUUUAUUUUUUAUUUUUCUAUUUUUGAGACGGAGUUUCGCUCUUUCACCCAGGCUGGAAUGAAGUGGCGCAAUCUCGGCUCACUGCAACCUCUGCCCCCAGGAUUCAAGCGAUUCUCCUGCCUCAGCCUCCCCAGUAGCUGGGAUUACAGAUGCCUGCCAUCAGGCCUGGCUUAUUUUAUUUUAUUUUAUUUUAUUUUUUAGUAGAGAUGGGGUUUCACCAUGUUGGCCAGGCUGGUCCCGAACUCUUUUUUUUUUUUUUUUUUUUUUUUUUUUUUUUUGAGAAGAGUCUUGCUCUGUCGCCCAGGCUGGAGUCCAGUGGCGCUAUCCUGGCUCACUGCAAGCUCUGCCUCCCGGGUUCAUACCAUUCUCCUGCCUCAGCCUCCCAAGUAGCUGGGACUACAGGCGCCUGCCACCAUGCCCGGCUAAUUUUUUUAUAUUUUUGGUAGAGCCGGGGUUUCACCGUGUUAGCCAGGAUGGUCUCGAUCUCCUGACCUCGUGAUCCGCCCGCCUCAGCCUCCCAAAGUGCUGGGAUUACAGGCGUGAGCCACGGCACCCGGCCGGUGGGCCGGUCCUGAACUCUUGACCUCAGAUGGUCCACCCGCCUCGGCCUCCCAAAGUGCUAGUAUUACAGGCGCGAGACACCUCGCCCAGCCUAUGCAACAUUCGUAAAAUGACAAAAUGGUAGAAAUGAGAACAGAUUACUAGUUGACAAAAAGAGGUUAACGGGGAGCAGAGGUAGGAGGGAAGGGUAUGCGGCUCUGUAAGGGCAACACGGGGAUCCUUCGUGAUGGAAAUAUUCUGCAUCUCAGUUGUGAUAUUGUACUCUAGUUUUUCUUUCUCUUCUCUUUUUUUGAGACAGAGUCUCGCUCUGUUGCCCAGGUUGGAGUGCAGUGGCGUGAUGUGGGCUCACCGCGACCUCCGCCUCCUGGGUACAAGCGAUUCUCCUGCCUGAGACUCCCGAGUAGCUGGGAUUACAGGCACCAGCCUCCACACCCGCCUAAUUUUUGUGUUUUCAGUACAGAUGGGGUUUCACCAUGUUGCUCAGGCUGGUCUUUAACUCCUGAGCUCAAGGGAUCCACCCGCCUUGGCCUCCCAAAGUGCUGGGAUUACAGACAUGAGCCACCGCACCUGGCCUCUAGUUUUUCAAGAUGCCACCUUUAGGGGAAUUGGGUAAAGCGUACAUAGGGUAUGCAUUACUUGUUACUGCAUGUGAAUUUAUAAUUACCUCAAAUCAAAAGUUAAAUUUUAAAAAAACGACAUCUGAUUUCAAUAAAAAUCCAUAUUUGUGUAUUGAAGUAUCAGAAA
Molecule: long non-coding RNA, 13383 nt
Filed under: Homo sapiens (human)
Lineage: Eukaryota; Metazoa; Chordata; Mammalia; Primates; Hominidae
Description: HSALNT0399027
Source: RNAcentral